This 223-nucleotide non-coding RNA is filed under the name Blautia sp. RNAcentral's name for it is "T-box sequence". It matches the Rfam family "T-box leader". From Rfam's summary of the family: Uncharged tRNA acts as the effector for transcription antitermination of genes in the T-box leader family. Lineage: Bacteria; Bacillati; Bacillota; Clostridia; Lachnospirales; Lachnospiraceae. The record is from RNAcentral.
UCAAAGGCUUUGAAGGCGUUUCAGGGAAUUGUUUCCUUUCAGAGAGAGGGAGUCAGCGGCUGUAAGCCCCCUUAAGUUCAGACAGUUUCUUAUUUUCCCGCCGGAGCUUCAUCUUUGAACUAUUUCAGUAGGAGAUGACGUUGAUGCGCGUUAAGCAUGACUCGAGUGCCUGCUCUUUAGCAGGAAACAGGGUGGUACCGCGGAUAAUGACUCCGUCCCUUUU